UCCCCUGUAGCUCAAUGGCAGAGCAGGAAGCUGUUAACUUCAAGGUUGUAGGUUCGAGUCCUACCGGGGGAGCCA
This 75-nucleotide transfer RNA is filed under the name Candidatus Pacebacteria bacterium RIFOXYA1_FULL_38_18. RNAcentral's name for it is "tRNA-Asn". It matches the Rfam family "tRNA". Rfam says of the family: Transfer RNA (tRNA) molecules are approximately 80 nucleotides in length. Their secondary structure includes four short double-helical elements and three loops (D, anti-codon, and T loops). Lineage: Bacteria; Bacillati; Minisyncoccota. The record is from RNAcentral. RNAcentral also lists the same sequence under 5 other names.